Molecule: non-coding RNA, 1895 nt
Organism: Lactuca sativa (garden lettuce)
Lineage: Eukaryota; Viridiplantae; Streptophyta; Magnoliopsida; Asterales; Asteraceae
Source: RefSeq, a predicted model, not a curated record
ACCUCAGAUCAAAUUGCUCAAAAUUGAUGACAUCAUGUUAAAUUAAACACAGGUUAUGCGGAUUCCUAACCUCUCCAUAGUUACUAAACUUGAUUGUAUUCCUAACCUAAAAAUCACAGAAACCUUAACCUUAAUUCAGCUCCAACCCUUGCAAGAACCUUAAUCGUUUGUUUCGCUUAGCCGCCGCAUCCCUAUAUUAUUUGUACGAACAACAAAGAGUGGAAGAUCAAGGCAGGAUUUUGGUAAAUAGAAGCACAAAUGAAAGAUUAAGGUUGGAUCUAGAAAAAUCGAAAGUAAAAAUAUUUUGUAUAUAGUCGUACCCUUAUGUCCUCUCUAUAAACUAAUAUUCAUCGAGUAUAAAAUAUAAAUAUGUUGAGACUCUAUGCAAGAUAUUCAGAGUCACAAUCAGCACGAACACAAUAGCUUUUUACUUCUCGACUUCAAGGUACUUCAUUUUUGGUUCUUCUUGUAUCUUACACAAAUACACUUCUGGCUUCGUAAUUGGUGCUAGGAACUUCCAUCAUUUUAUAUGAUGUUAUACUGAAAUCAUCAGCAAGUAAAAGUAAAAAAAAUUAAACUUUUUUCCCCUUGCCGAAAAGUAUGGAGAAGUUACCAAAACUUGUGGAGGAUUUUGUCCAAACCAAUCCUAGAACCCCUCCCUGCGCCUCUAUAUUUGAUUCUUGCGUGUCAACGAUAUUCGCAUCUGGUUCUAUGUUCUCGAUGGUUUGUGUAAAUUAAAUCUUAUAUUUUUUUUGUCAUUAUGAUAUUCUAAGUAUAUAUUUAAUCUUGCACAUAAGGUGUUUGAUGUAUUGUCUCACCGAGUUAUUUGUUUAAGUUUUGUUGUUUGAAACAAAGAUAUUAAUGGCUAAAUGAAGUCGCUUGUGAAGGUUCAUAAAACUUUUUCUAUGUUUCGGUAAGUGUGACUAAAGUUUUACACAAUGGCAUCAUGCUCUGGUCUAUGAUGUUGGUAACUAAUUGAAGCUUGGGGAUGGGUUAAUUUUAGAGAUUUAGGUAUUGAGUUCCAUCUUCAUGGAUCUGAUAGAUGAUUUUGACUAAUAAAUGAAUUCAUGGAUUAAUCCAAGUACUAUCAUGUGAUACUACAGUUAUGAUUAUAUUUGAUUUUUAUUAUUUGGAGUUUCUUAUCUUAUACAUUAUGAAUGCCUAACAAAACUAACUUGGUUUCUUUUUGUUAGCCUAAUUAUGUUGUCAGAAAACUUUUAGUGGAAAUUAGAUAGGAAGAUAUAGUGGUUAUGUUGGUCUCCUAUACAACAGGUAAUGUUUCAAUUGGCUUUGUAUAUCUUGAAUCCCUGCUAUAACAACUUGCAUUGCCAUUGGUGGCUUGAUUUUAAUUGCAAAAAAACAUUGGAAAAGUGAUAAAAAGAUUUUUCCAUAUGGAUAAGAAAACUUUUUUUUCGUUGAUUCAUCUCAAGUUACAAAAUUCAGUUGAAUACACAUUUCGCCAGCUGUGUAUUUUGUUAAAAAAUAUGCUAAUUUUUGGAAAAGUAUUAUAUCAUAUGGAAACCACAUUACAUUUUACUUUCUUGUCAAUCAUUUAGGAAAAAGUGAUAAAAGAUUAUGUCAAUGCGAUAAGAUAGAAGUCAACAAGAUGAAUUGAUGGUAGAAGGGCAGACAAUUAAUAUUUCAAGGAUGAGUGUGGAAGUGCCUCUUCAGCGAAAGGGAAGGAGCUGACGCGGUAGUGGCAUAUCAAACACACGCUCUUUGUUUUCCGCACUACGAGAUAUUCUGGGAUGUGUACUCUGACAUUAUGGUUGUUUUUAUGUUUUGGUUUCGGACACAAAAUAUGUUUUAUGGGAUGAUAUGAUCGGAUGAUGUUUUACUAUAAAUAUUUUACAAACCACUUAUUUUAAAUAAAAAUUUUGGGCGUGAAAAUUGGG